AGCGGAGCAUGUGGUUUAAUUCGAAGCAACGCGAAGAACCUUACCAGGGCUUGACAUGCCGCUGACCGGUGCAGAGAUGCAUCUUUAUCCUUCGGGGUACAGCGGACACAGGUGGUGCAUGGUUGUCGUCAGCUCGUGUCGUGAGAUGUUGGGUUAAGUCCCGCAACGAGCGCAACCCUUGUCUUUAGUUGCCAUCAUUAAGUUGGGCACUCUAAAGAGACUGCCGAUGACAAACCGGAGGAAGGUGGGGAUGACGUCAAGUCCUCAUGGCCCUUAUGACCAGGGCUACACACGUGCUACAAUGGCCGGUACAAAGAGUUGCAAUACCGCGAGGUGGAGCUAAUCUCAUAAAGCCGGUCUCAGUUCGGAUUGGAGUCUGCAACUCGACUCCAUGAAGUUGGAAUCGCUAGUAAUCGCGGAUCAGCACGCCGCGGUGAAUACGUUCCCGGGCCUU
RNAcentral lists this ribosomal RNA (454 nucleotides) under uncultured Eubacteriales bacterium. RNAcentral's name for it is "bacterial SSU rRNA". It matches the Rfam family "Bacterial small subunit ribosomal RNA", at positions 931 to 1382 of the family's 1533-position model. The record is from RNAcentral. Lineage: Bacteria; Bacillati; Bacillota; Clostridia; Eubacteriales.